RNAcentral lists this transfer RNA (68 nucleotides) under Sillago panhwari. Its description in RNAcentral is "tRNA-Ser". Lineage: Eukaryota; Metazoa; Chordata; Actinopteri; Sillaginidae. The record is from RNAcentral.
GAGAGAGGCUCGCAAGCAAUAAGAACUGCUAAUUCUUACCGCCCUGGUUGAACCCCAGGGCUCACUCG